UACGGAGGGAGCUAGCGUUGUUCGGAAUUACUGGGCGUAAAGCGCACGUAGGCGGCUUUGUAAGUUAGAGGUGAAAGCCUGGAGCUCAACUCCAGAAUUGCCUUUAAGACUGCAUCGCUUGAAUCCGGGAGAGGUGAGUGGAAUUCCGAGUGUAGAGGUGAAAUUCGUAGAUAUUCGGAAGAACACCAGUGGCGAAGGCGGCUCACUGGACCGGUAUUGACGCUGAGGUGCGAAAGCGUGGGGAGCAAACAGG
RNAcentral lists this ribosomal RNA (253 nucleotides) under uncultured bacterium. RNAcentral describes it as "partial 16S ribosomal RNA". It matches the Rfam family "Bacterial small subunit ribosomal RNA", at positions 524 to 776 of the family's 1533-position model. The record is from RNAcentral.